Conger conger (European conger) is the source of this 1046-nucleotide long non-coding RNA. RefSeq lists it as uncharacterized. NCBI's taxonomy places the organism in Eukaryota, Metazoa, Chordata, Actinopteri, Anguilliformes, Congridae. The record is from RefSeq and is a predicted model, not a curated record. The transcript is spliced from 3 exons.
UGUGCUGACAAAAAGGUCCUCAGCCUCUUCCACUUCCCUGAAGUCAGUCUGCCCAGCUUCGCCCAUCGGUGGAGGCUCCCUCUCUGCCGCCAUCUUAUUUUAGCAAUAAUAACUGAACGAGAAAACAAUCGGUAGAAGCGAGUCAGGAGACUCCCGAGCUGUCAUGUGAUUCACAGGAACUGCUUGGUCUUGUGACCAACUGAACGUUCACGGAUAUCAUGCUCCCUCUGUACUGGCGCGGCUUGGAAACCUCAGCAUUCGACGCGCAGCGUGAACUUGAACAACCCCAUAUUUUCGGACAAAGAAUAAGACGGCUAUUCUUUUAAUUUGAUGGUGCCCAUGAACUGGACACAGUCAGUGCUUUGCGUGUGGGCUGGGUCACUGGAGCCUAUCCCAGCAUACAUUGGGAGAAAGGCAGGAAUACACCCUGGACAGGACACUCACACACUCAUACCUAUGGGCAAUUUAGACUCUCCAAUCAGCCUAACCUGCAUGUCUUUGGACUGUGGGAGGAAACCGGAGUGCCCGGAGGAAACCCAUCCAGACACGGGGAGAACAUGCAAACUCCGCACAGAGAGGCCCCGGCCGACAGGGAUUCAGUAUCAGUCAUCCCUUGUUCUUGUUAAUUCCAUUGGCCGUCUAUCUGAUGGAACACACCUACAGUACCGUAUAUAGUGUAUUAUAACAGAAAUUUUCAUUUAGUUGUCUGAAAUUAUGUGAGUUUGUUGAAUCCGACGUGACACACUCAUAAGAGCCCUUCGUUCGAAAAAAGAAAUACAUUUAUUUUAUGUAUGAGAAAUUUAUGAUAAAAAUAUGAAAAUGUUCUGUAUGAGGCCCAAUGUUGAUUGAUAUGGUAAUUAUAAAACAUUUUGUUUUGUUCAAUUAAUUAUGCCUUAAUUUGACUUGAUUAGGCCAACAGUAAAUUAUAAUUAAAAUAUAAUCUUCUCAAAUGAUAGUAGCUUCCAAACUGUUUGCUACACCUCUGGAUUUUGUGACAUUUGCAAAAUGAAUAAUUUAACUAAUAAUCAAUAAACAGGUACAAAUAA